RNAcentral lists this small RNA (726 nucleotides) under Pongo abelii (Sumatran orangutan). RNAcentral describes it as "processed transcript". The record is from RNAcentral. Lineage: Eukaryota; Metazoa; Chordata; Mammalia; Primates; Hominidae.
AAGUGGCAGGCAGGCAGGCUGGCCCCGGGGACUUCUCUCUGGCCCUGCUCCCUCCGAGCGCUCCGCCGUUGCCCGCCUGGCCCCUACGGCGGGGGCGGGCAGAGGGCGGGGCUGCUGCCAGAUCUAGUCAGACAGGUGGAGCUGCCGGGGCAGGAGUCUCAAAGAGCCAGGCUCCAGGAGAGGAAGGGCUCUGCCAGAGGAGAGAGGAGAGCGCUGGAGAGGACAGGCUGGAGAGUCCUUAGCCAGGAUGGAGGCUGUUGUGAACUUGUACCAAGAGAUGAUGAAGCACGCAGAUCCCCGGAUCCAGGGCUACCCUCUGAUGGGGUCCCCUUUGCUAAUGACCUCCAUCCUCCUGACCUACGUGUACUUCGUUCUCUCACUUGGGCCUCGCAUCAUGGCUAAUCGGAAGCCCUUCCAGCUCCGUGGCUUCAUGAUUGUCUACAACUUCUCACUGGUGGCACUCUCCCUCUACAUUGUCUAUGAGUUCCUGAUGUCGGGCUGGCUGAGCACCUAUACCUGGCGCUGUGACCCUGUGGACUAUUCCAACAGCCCUGAGGCACUUAGGAUGGUUCGGGUGGCCUGGCUCUUCCUCUUCUCCAAGUUCAUUGAGCUGAUGGACACAGUGAUCUUUAUUCUCCGAAAGAAAGAUGGGCAGGUGACCUUCCUACAUGUCUUCCAUCACUCUGUGCUUCCCUGGAGCUGGUGGUGGGGGGUAAAGAUUGCCCC